UAAAGAAUUUCCAUCAACCUUAUCACUUUGCACGACCAUUAUUCUGAAAAACAGAGAGAAAAUAAAACCAAAAACCAUUUCUUGGCUGGUUUGAAGAAAUUCUAAGGAGAUCAAAGUGAAAGCAAAGCCAAAGAAGUAGAUUAAGCUUAGUUCUAGCAUUUUUAUGAUAUUUCUUGGGGUUUCCAAGUGGUUUGAGGUUUAGAAAAGCUUGAAGAGAUUGUUCUCGCCGAAAAGUUGCUCGGUAAGUGAAAUUUUGUGUUUUAUGAGGUUUUUGGGGUUCUUGGAGUACAAGCUGAUUUUUGGUUAUUUGAUUGAGUUUAUAAGAGAGUAUAUAUGUUUAUAAAUGUUUGAAUAGAUGGGAAGACUCAUUUAAUUUGGGUGAUGAUCUAGGAGAUUUGAAUUUUAUCAAAAUCGGUAUAUGAUAACUUUAUGAUGAAUCAUGUUGGUAUUUGGGAUAUAUGGUUAUGGCAGGUUAAUUGAUGUUGAUUAUUGGUUGAUUGUAAUAUUUGAGGAUAGCUAAAAUUAAGGGGAAACUCUGUCAAAAUUUCCCCAAAUGUCUAAGAUAAAUCUAAUGCUCGAUCUAGGUGGUUUAAGGCAUUUUAGGCAUGUUUUGGGUAUGAAAUUUGAUAUGAAGUUUUAUGGGUAUUUUUAAAUGAGAGUUCAAUGUAUUACUACCAUCAUUAUGAUGAGAAAUCCAUGCCAUUGUCAGGAUAAGCACAUCAAUACCUAAGACACCACUUGUUACACAGUGAAAUAUAUUUUGGACAAAAGGUAGAGAAAGAAAUGUGUGAAUGACAUGAGGAUAACUGAAGCAUGGUCCUGACCCUGAUUUGUACAUAUGAACAUAUCGACCUUUUGUGAGUUAUUUCAGUUAUCAGUGAGAUGUUUGUAAUAAAGUGUGAAGUUAUGUUUUGAAAAUAAAUUGGGUUAUUUAAUACUUAUGUAUAAUAUGUUUGAGACACACUUUAUGUUUAAUGUAAAUAAUGUGAAAUAAGUUUUCAA
Molecule: long non-coding RNA, 1002 nt
Organism: Humulus lupulus (European hop)
Lineage: Eukaryota; Viridiplantae; Streptophyta; Magnoliopsida; Rosales; Cannabaceae
Exons: 3
Source: RefSeq, a predicted model, not a curated record